GCACUACUCGGGGAGAUAGCGGUGCCCUGUGACCCGCAAUCCGCUGCAGCGGGGAGGAAUUCCCAACCGAGGGUGCAUGCUGUGCCGUCUGACCCACAUAAGCGGCGUUGAUGAUCCGGUCUUGCGCAAUGGGGCGCUGCGAACCGUGUCAGGUGGGGAACCAAGCAGCACUAAACAGUUAACCCUGUGUGCCGCGAGGGCGCCGUUUCUGAGCUGGCUGUGCGGGUAACGGGUGUAGCGUGUAUUCGGAGAAGGGUG
This 258-nucleotide signal recognition particle RNA is filed under the name bovine gut metagenome. Its description in RNAcentral is "Bacterial large signal recognition particle RNA". It matches the Rfam family "Bacterial large signal recognition particle RNA". From Rfam's summary of the family: The signal recognition particle (SRP) is a universally conserved ribonucleoprotein involved in the co-translational targeting of proteins to membranes. Archaeal SRP consists of a 7S RNA and homologues of the eukaryotic SRP19 and SRP54 proteins. The record is from RNAcentral.